RNAcentral lists this ribosomal RNA (253 nucleotides) under uncultured bacterium. RNAcentral's name for it is "partial 16S ribosomal RNA". It matches the Rfam family "Bacterial small subunit ribosomal RNA", at positions 524 to 776 of the family's 1533-position model. The record is from RNAcentral.
UACGUAGGGACCGAGCGUUGUCCGGAUUCAUUGGGCGUAAAGAGCUCGUAGGCGGCUGUUCAAGUCGAACGUGAAAACUCGGAGCUCAACUCCGAGCCUGCGUUCGAUACUGGACGGCUAGAGUCUGGUAGGGGGAUCUGGAAUUCCUGGUGUAGCGGUGGAAUGCGCAGAUAUCAGGAGGAACACCGGUGGCGAAGGCGGCUAUCUGGACAGUGACUGACGCUGAGACGCGAAAGCGUGGGGAGCAAACAGG